CCUACGGGUGGCAGCAGUGAGGAAUAUUGGUCAAUGGGCGCGAGCCUGAACCAGCCAAGUAGCGUGAAGGAUGACUGCCCUACGGGUUGUACACUUCUUUUAUAAAGGAGUAAAGUGAGGCACGUGUGCCUUUUUGUAUGUCCUUUAUGAAUAAGGAUCGGCUAACUCCGUGCCAGCAGCCGCGGUAAUACGGAGGAGCCGAUCGUUAUCCGGAAUUAUUGGGUUUAAAGGAAGCGUAGUUGGGUGUUUAAGUCAGUUGUGAAAGUGUGCGGCUCAACGGUAGAAUUGCAAUUGAUACUGGUGGUCGUGAGUACAGGAGGGGCAAGCGGAAUUCUUAGUGUAGCGGUGGAAU
This 352-nucleotide ribosomal RNA is filed under the name uncultured bacterium. RNAcentral's name for it is "partial 16S ribosomal RNA". It matches the Rfam family "Bacterial small subunit ribosomal RNA", at positions 338 to 687 of the family's 1533-position model. The record is from RNAcentral.